GAUGAACGCUAGCGGCAGGCUUAACACAUGCAAGUCGAGGGGUAUAUUUCUUCGGAGAUAGAGACCGGCGCACGGGUGCGUAACGCGUAUGCAAUCUACCUUUUACAGAGGGAUAGCCCAGAGAAAUUUGGAUUAAUACCUCAUAGUAUAUAGACUCGGCAUCGAGAUUAUAUUAAAGUCACAACGGUAAAAGAUGAGCA
Molecule: ribosomal RNA, 200 nt
Filed under: uncultured bacterium
Lineage: Bacteria
Description: partial 16S ribosomal RNA
Rfam family: Bacterial small subunit ribosomal RNA
Source: RNAcentral